This 131-nucleotide small nucleolar RNA is filed under the name Microtus ochrogaster (prairie vole). RNAcentral's name for it is "Small nucleolar RNA SNORA25 (ENSMOCG00000007127.1)". The record is from RNAcentral. Lineage: Eukaryota; Metazoa; Chordata; Mammalia; Rodentia; Cricetidae.
CAUACUUUAAAACAAAGGCUUUAAUGGGGCUAUCAAACCAGAAGUUCUUAAGGGCAUGACUAAAGACUGAGGUUCUCCACAGGAUGUCAGUCACUCAAUAGUGCUAAUGUUUUCCCUAAGGAGAGAUGAGA